This 432-nucleotide ribosomal RNA is filed under the name uncultured bacterium. RNAcentral's name for it is "partial 16S ribosomal RNA". It matches the Rfam family "Bacterial small subunit ribosomal RNA", at positions 29 to 507 of the family's 1533-position model. The record is from RNAcentral.
AACGAACGCUGGCGGCAUGCCUAACACAUGCAAGUCGAACGAGACCUUCGGGUCUAGUGGCGCACGGGUGCGUAACGCGUGGGAACCUGCCCUUAGGUUCGGAAUAACUCCCCGAAAGGGGUGCUAAUACCGGAUAAUGUCUUCGGACCAAAGAUUUAUCGCCUUUGGAUGGGCCCGCGUUGGAUUAGCUAGUUGGUAGGGUAAAAGCCUACCAAGGCGACGAUCCAUAGCUGGUCUGAGAGGAUGAUCAGCCACACUGGGACUGAGACACGGCCCAGACUCCUACGGGAGGCAGCAGUGGGGAAUAUUGGACAAUGGGCGAAAGCCUGAUCCAGAAUGCCGCGUGAGUGAUGAAGGCCUUAGGGUUGUAAAGCUCUUUUACCCGGGAUGAUAAUGACAGUACCGGGAGAAUAAGCUCCGGCUAACUCCGUG